GUCACACCUGACCGGCCCCGCCCCACCCCGCCCGUAAAUCCCGGCGGAUCCGCGCCCGCUCCGCGUUCUGCCCUGGAUGCUCAUCCCGGGGUGCGGCGGCACCGCCGCUCGGAGCGCUGCGCGGAGCCCCGGGCCGGGGGCUGCUCCCGGCGCUGCGCCGAGCCCAAGGCGCUGAGAGCACAGCAGAUGGGUGGUUGUAAAGAGCCAAGAGGAUCAUCACGUGAGAUGAUGAGCAGUGACUGCUCCAGCUGGGCACAGAACACAGAAUCUUGGCCUUCUCAGCACCCUGCUCCAGGCACCUGAGCCACUCUCAGGGUCAUGAAGAAGGUCCUGCCUGUGAUGGGAAUGGCUGCUGCCAGCAAGGGAACUCCUCUACAAGUGCUGCUCCUUCUGUUCUGCUGAUGCUGCUUUACACAGCAACCCCUGCAGUGGCUGGAGAGCAGAACUGGCUGGCAACUCCCACGACAGCACCAAACUCUUACCAUGACCCUGAUUUUCCUGCCCUUUCCAGGAUUUCCCCAGCAGCUGUAAAUUGACUCUCACAGUGUCCCUUGGCAGGGAGAAAUGAGCCAGACAGGCCCUGAGGGUUCCCUUGUUCCAUGGCCAAAGUUCCUCUGGAGGGUGGCAGGGAGCAUUUCCUGCAGGAGCUUGUUUCUAGAAGGGAGUGGAGUAAGAGAACGGUUCUAAGAGCAGAUUGAAAGCAGCAGAGCAAUGGCAGCACCUGCAGUUUCUAUCGAUCAGUCACAAAGCAGGGGACCUUGGAUCCUGCCAGAGGGUCACAGAGACCUGAGGAAGACUCUCCUGACUUCAUCCUUGCAGAUCACUGACCCAGUUCCACACCACAAACCCAAUUCAAGAGAAGAAUUGUGCAUGCGUGAAGGACUAAUAGCCUCAUUUUAAUACGGAACAGGGAUGGGAGGUGCUGGGGUUAUGCAUAUGCAUUGUAUGUAAGAUCUGGGGAAAUCAAUGGAGGGCAAAGCACCUUGUCUGGGUUGGUCACGUCUUUUGGAGACGACUCCGUGCCGCCCUCUGGUGCAUAAAUGUACGACUGUCUAACUUGAACUAGUUAGAGAGUCUCUGUCGUGACCUUCGGUUUUAACGACGCAACAGACUGGAGCAGCACUGGUACAGGAAUUGAUAUUUGACUCUUCCUCCUUUCCU
Long non-coding RNA from Prinia subflava (tawny-flanked prinia), 1161 nucleotides. RefSeq lists it as uncharacterized. The record is from RefSeq and is a predicted model, not a curated record. The transcript is spliced from 3 exons. Lineage: Eukaryota; Metazoa; Chordata; Aves; Passeriformes; Cisticolidae.